CAAUAAUUUGGAAAUAAGGAAUAAGGAAUGGACAAUAAUGUGGAAAUAAGGAAUAAGGAAUGGACUAUAAGGUUUAAUUAUAUAUACUAGGGACUUGCCAAUUAUGUUCUCGGCAGUCCCAUUGUUUGUCAAGCCGUGGCCGUACAAUUUUGUACUUUUGCCAAAUAAAAUAUUUCUUACUUUAUAUUUGUAUGUCAUUUGGCCCCACGUUGUCUCAGAUAAUAAGAUUUAUUCCUAUGAAGAAUAAAUCCGGUUAUCGGAGGAAAGUGGGCUUACGUUUUGGGAGUUGUCCCGCUUUGCACACGUGGAUGUAUUAUGAGUCACGUGUGAUUUUUUAACCUUGAUAACUGACGUCAUCAUUCUUUCUUUACCACGUACGAUACAGCAGAGGGAAGACGCAAACAAUUGGGUUCCGUAUGAAUUAACUAAUGUUUGUUUCAAAAGUUACCCACCCACCCACCACUUAGAUUAAAGACAUACUCCUAAAAUGUAGUUAAUAUACAUGUGUUAAAUGUUAUAUUAUGUUAUAUCAUGUUGUUCGUUUUUCUGCUGUUUUUGUUCUAUUUUUCAGGUUGAAAUGACUGGUAGCUUAUUCCGAUUGUAAUCCCAAUCCUUCGUCACGGCUUCAGACAAAGACUCCGACCAUUGUAAUCCCAAUCCUUCGUCACGGCUUCAGACAAAGACUCCGACCAUUUAAUGGCGAAAAUAGCGACACAACAUCUACAAAU
This 728-nucleotide long non-coding RNA is filed under the name Mytilus galloprovincialis (Mediterranean mussel). Lineage: Eukaryota; Metazoa; Mollusca; Bivalvia; Mytilida; Mytilidae. The record is from RNAcentral.